Molecule: ribosomal RNA, 497 nt
Filed under: uncultured Oxalobacteraceae bacterium
Lineage: Bacteria; Pseudomonadati; Pseudomonadota; Betaproteobacteria; Burkholderiales; Oxalobacteraceae
Description: bacterial SSU rRNA
Rfam family: Bacterial small subunit ribosomal RNA
Source: RNAcentral
CUAGAUUGAACGCUGGCGGCGAUGCUUUACUACAUGCAAGUCGAACGGCGAGCACGGGGCUUCGGCCUGGUGGCGAGUGGCGAACGGGUGGAGUAAUAUAAUCGGAACGUAACCCAGAAGUAGGGGGAGUAACGUAAGCGAAAGUUACGCUAAUACCGCAUACGAUCUACGGAUGAAAUGGGGGAUCGCAAGACCUCAUGCUUUUGGAGCGGCCGAUAUCUGAUUAGCUAGUAGGUAGGGUAAAGGCCUACCUAGGCGACGAUCAGUAGCUGGUCUGAGAGGACGACCAGCCACACUGGAACUGAGACACGGUCCAGACUCCUACGGGAGGCAGCAGUGGGGAAUUUUGGACAAUGGGCGCAAGCCUGAUCCAGCAAUGCCGCGUGAGUGAAGAAGGCCUUCGGGUUGUAAAGCUCUUUUGUCAGGGAAGAAACGGGCUUGGCUAAUAUCCGAGCUUAAUGACGGUACCUGAAGAAUAAGCACCGGCUAACUACGUG